Molecule: non-coding RNA, 32 nt
Filed under: Gallus gallus (chicken)
Lineage: Eukaryota; Metazoa; Chordata; Aves; Galliformes; Phasianidae
Also listed under: 5 other names
Source: RNAcentral
GUUUCCGUAGUGUAGUGGUUAUCACAUUCGCC